RNAcentral lists this long non-coding RNA (372 nucleotides) under Mus caroli (Ryukyu mouse). RNAcentral describes it as "lncRNA (MGP_CAROLIEiJ_G0002499.1)". The record is from RNAcentral. Lineage: Eukaryota; Metazoa; Chordata; Mammalia; Rodentia; Muridae.
GUACUUUGAUUUCUUGAUGGCUGACUAUGAGUACUGAAAACUCCAACCCGGCAGCGUGUAGUGCUGUGCGCCUCUCCUUAUAGAGUUAAACUCAGCCAGGCCUGCCAGAGAGAAACCCUAAACCGGCGCUACAUUCCUGCAGGAACUCUGUCACAGUCUCAGCUCACACUGGCCUCCAGAUGAACAAGGUGAAGAAAUAGAGAAGGCCAUACCCAUGAGGAAGAGGCUCUUGGCAGACAUGGAAUCUACUGGCACCUUAUUCUUGGAUUCUCAAGCCUCCUAAACACUGGAGCUGCCUAAUGCUGACAUUCUCAGGCUGCACAGCAGAAGGCAUCAUGGGAAGCUGAACCAGGUCUCACUCAGUGUGCUCCC